UAAGCGGAGGACAAGAAACUAAAUAGGAUUCCCUCAGUAAUGGCGAAUGAACAGGGAUAAGCUCAGCAUGGAAAUUGGGGCCUCUGGCCUUGAAUUGUAGUCUUGAGAUGGCAUUGCCAGUGGAGGCGCAGAUGUAAGCCUCUUGGAAAAGAGCAUCAAUGAGGGUGAGAGUCCCGUUUGUCAUCUGCAGUCCCCCAUAAACGGUGUGCUUUCUAAGAGUCACGUUCCUUGGGAUUGGAGCGCAAAUUGGGUGGUAAAUUUCAUCUAAAGCUAAAUAUUGGUUCGAGACCGAUAGCAAACAAGUACCAUGAGGGAAAGGUGAAAAGGACUUUGAAAAGAGAGUUAAAAGUGCCUGAAAUUGCUGAAAGGGAAGCGAAUGGAACCAGUCUUCUGGGCGAGAUUGUUGCGCGCUACUGUGAUUGCCUGCUGCUUCAACGCAAGUGUCGCAGUGGGUUUUGAGCAUGACGUGCGCUUUGUUUCUUGCCUCGUGUGUCAACGUCGGUUCGGACUUGAGGAAAACUCCAGGGACAUGGUAAAUCGCUCGUGGGUGAUUGAAUGUGCUUGGCAGAACUCAUUUCUUAACUGAUUUCUGCAUGUCUGGUCGCAGUGCCUCGUUGCCUGCGCUCGCUGCCUCGGGUCUGGAGCUUCAGCUCUUCCUCGUUGCUUUGAGCCUGGUCGUGUGGCAUCUCCCUGACAUAAGUACGAUGACAAAAUGGUUUCAUUCGACCCGUCUUGA
This 736-nucleotide ribosomal RNA is filed under the name Karlodinium australe. RNAcentral's name for it is "LSU rRNA". It matches the Rfam family "Eukaryotic large subunit ribosomal RNA", at positions 47 to 657 of the family's 3401-position model. Lineage: Eukaryota; Dinophyceae; Gymnodiniales; Kareniaceae. The record is from RNAcentral.